GAGAAGAGAUGGCCUGUGAUCCUCUUCUUGCCCAGUGCCCCAAAACAUCUUAAUCUGUUUAUGUUUUUGAACCAUGCUUGGUGUGCCUAUUGGGUGUUCAAGAAGACUCUUGUGCUGGUGGAUUUGUGCAAGUGAAGAUCCCAUGGACCUAGAACCAGCCUGUAACUAAUGGAUAUCUCUGUCCCAGACUGGCAGAGCUGAUACAGACAUCUCCUCUCCACAAUAUCCUCUCUCUUCAUCCAAGUCCACCAGAAACCCAGCAAAUGAGGGAAAGGACCCUUAUGACAAUAUCUACUGUAAAUCAGUCAAUGGGUGCAAAACACCAAAGAAAAGCAAAAGCCCACAAAUAAAAAUGGAACAUAAACAAAUUAAAAGAAAAAAACCUCCAUGAAGUAUUUUUUUUACUGCUGCUCAGCUUUCAGUUCAAGCAUGGCAUUAACAUACAAUCCAUAGAAUAGAUAGGAAGAGCACCAGAAUGGCUACUGGAGUUUCUAAGACAUAGAGAGACAGGAGGCACAUUGAGAUUCCUCUUUGUGAAGUAUAAAGUAUCUGGGAUGGCCAGCCAGCUUAGCUACUUGGUACAUGGGGACAUGGCUUUGCUUUCUUUUUGUGGUCUGGCCUUGCUUCCUAGGCUGUGUGAAGGCAGGAAGAAAAGGUGUUGGGACUGCUGUGACAGUGCUGGGGUGACAAUUUUCCCUUGGCCUUCAGUGAUCAGUGUAAGUAUAGGGAAGUUCCUUGUAGCAGAAGCUGGUCUUUAGUAUUUUCCCUGCUAAAUAAUGAAACCUUUUAAAAAAAAAUUGUCAGUAAUAAUAGAUGGAAGGAAUCAUCCUGCUGAUUGUUAACAGAAGUUUAGAAAUUCAUCACAUUGUACAGAUCAUCUAGAUCCACCUUUCCUUGCCCCCUAGUUGUGAAUGUAGUUCCUUAUGUGCUACUAGCUAAUUGUCCAUCAAGAAUGAUGGAUUCAGGGAGUGUUUACAUAGUCUCCCCUCUCCCCCUGCUCACCCUUCA
Molecule: long non-coding RNA, 1008 nt
Organism: Gavialis gangeticus (Gharial)
Lineage: Eukaryota; Metazoa; Chordata; Crocodylia; Gavialidae
Exons: 3
Source: RefSeq, a predicted model, not a curated record